Molecule: ribosomal RNA, 465 nt
Filed under: uncultured bacterium
Lineage: Bacteria
Description: partial 16S ribosomal RNA
Rfam family: Bacterial small subunit ribosomal RNA
Source: RNAcentral
GACGAACGCUGGCGGCGUGCUUAACACAUGCAAGUCGUACGGUAAGGCCCUUUCGGGGGUACACGAGUGGCGAACGGGUGAGUAACACGUGAGUAACCUGCCCACAACUUUGGGAUAACGCUAGGAAACUGGUGCUAAUACUGGAUAUGUGCCCCUGCUGCAUGGUGGGGGUUGGAAAGCUCCGGCGGUUGUGGAUGGACUCGCGGCCUAUCAGCUUGUUGGUGGGGUAGUGGCCUACCAAGGCGGCGACGGGUAGCCGGCCUGAGAGGGUGACCGGCCACAUUGGGACUGAGAUACGGCCCAGACUCCUACGGGAGGCAGCAGUGGGGAAUAUUGCACAAUGGGCGCAAGCCUGAUGCAGCAACGCCGCGUGCGGGAUGACGGCCUUCGGGUUGUAAACCGCUUUCAGCAGGGACGAAGCUUUUUGUGACGGUACCUGCAGAAGAAGCACCGGCUAACUACGUG